GGUACCUGUCUGACCUACAUCACCAUAUUAGAGAAGCAUAUCAGAAACAUAAAUACAUGUAUCUUCACAACCCUGUGAGGGUGAUGCAGGUUAUCUUGGUCAGAAGGGUACCAGGGACAUCAAGGACACAAGGAGUCAGAUUUUCAGAAAAAAAGAGAUCCAAAGUCCAGGCAUGUAACUGUGUGUCUACAUUUCCACACUACUGCAGCUGAGAGGACAAAUCAGGGUGCUAAAGAAGCAAAGGGAAAGCACCCUUUUUCCCCACGUGAACUCAUUAACUAUGUGCGCAACCACAACUGAAAACCAGAAUGCCCAGUCUAUCCAACGGAACUAGUGUUUGUUUUGGACAUAUCCCAGUUACUUGAAAGAAUAAGAGAGACUGUAAAUCAGUAGUGAAUGCCACCAAAAUUAGAGACAGCAACUGCCUGCCCAGUGGGAGCUAGAGUCACUGUUGUGUCCUACAAUUCCAAUAUUCGUUAUCUGAUCCGCUUCUCCGAGUUCUACAGCAAGAAUCAGCUUCCUCAACAAACUUGAAAAUCUGGCUUAUGAGAGAUCCUCAAGUGAAUGGGAUAUUGCCAGAGUGAUGAGAUUCAUUGCCAGGAAUGUUUUCAGGUGAACUCGCCAAGGUCCUCAUGUGAGAAAGUAGCAGUGUUUUUCAGCAAUGGACCUUCUGCAGAAGAAUUUUCUAUUAACACAGCAAUUCUGGAGUACAGUGCAUUUGAUAUUGUUCCAGUAGUUAUCACUUUUAAUGAAGUUCCCCACAUCAGUCGUUCUUCCGCAGUAAGAAAUCCACUAACAUUUUCAUUCUGAUGGUCAGUAACAAGACUUUGUAUUUCACAGCCUUCAAAACAUAGUGGGCCACAUUCAUCCUUUGGUGUAACUCCAUUAUCUUCAGUGGAGUUACACCCAGGACAGAUCGGGCUCAUUGGAUUGGUUAUUUGUGAUUAUAUAUGGGGCCAAAUCCAGAAGACUUACAUGAAUAGUGAUUAUUUAUGCUAGUGAUCCCAUUAAAGUCAGUAGAACUACUUAAACAGGGGCAGGGAAACUUUUUGGCCUGAUGGCCGCAUCGGAUUUGGUAAAUUGUA
Molecule: long non-coding RNA, 1085 nt
Organism: Mauremys mutica (yellowpond turtle)
Lineage: Eukaryota; Metazoa; Chordata; Testudines; Geoemydidae
Exons: 6
Source: RefSeq, a predicted model, not a curated record